RNAcentral lists this ribosomal RNA (370 nucleotides) under uncultured bacterium. RNAcentral describes it as "bacterial SSU rRNA". It matches the Rfam family "Bacterial small subunit ribosomal RNA", at positions 30 to 412 of the family's 1533-position model. The record is from RNAcentral.
AUUGAACGCUGGCGGCAGGCUUAACACAUGCAAGUCGAGCGGAGACUUCGGUCUUAGCGGCGAACGGGUGAGGAACGCCUGGGAAUCUGCCUGUUAGUGGGGGAUAACGAAUCGAAAGGUUCGCUAAUACCGCAUACGUCCUACGGGAGAAAGCAGGGGACCUUCGGGCCUUGCGCUAACAGAUGAGCCCAGGUCGGAUUAGCUAGUAGGUGGGGUAAAGGCUCACCUAGGCGACGAUCCGUAGCUGGUCUGAGAGGAUGAUCAGCCACACUGGAACUGAGACACGGUCCAGACUCCUACGGGAGGCAGCAGUGGGGAAUAUUGGACAAUGGGCGAAAGCCUGAUCCAGCCAUGCCGCGUGUGUGAAGAA